UGCGGGAUGGAGCAGUCUGGUAGCUCGUCGGGCUCAUAACUCGAAGGUCGUUGGUUCAAAUCCAGCUCCCGCUACCA
Molecule: transfer RNA, 77 nt
Filed under: Acinetobacter baumannii
Lineage: Bacteria; Pseudomonadati; Pseudomonadota; Gammaproteobacteria; Moraxellales; Moraxellaceae
Also listed under: 1 other name
Description: tRNA-Met
Rfam family: tRNA
About the family: Transfer RNA (tRNA) molecules are approximately 80 nucleotides in length. Their secondary structure includes four short double-helical elements and three loops (D, anti-codon, and T loops). Further hydrogen bonds mediate the characteristic L-shaped molecular structure. tRNAs have two regions of fundamental functional importance: the anti-codon, which is responsible for specific mRNA codon recognition, and the 3' end, to which the tRNAs corresponding amino acid is attached (by aminoacyl-tRNA synthetases). tRNAs cope with the degeneracy of the genetic code in two manners: having more than one tRNA (with a specific anti-codon) for a particular amino acid; and 'wobble' base-pairing, i.e. permitting non-standard base-pairing at the 3rd anti-codon position.
Source: RNAcentral